GACGAACGCUGGCGGCGUGCUUAACACAUGCAAGUCGAACGGAAAGGCUCCAGCUUGCUGGAGUACUCGAGUGGCGAACGGGUGAGUAACACGUGGGUGAUCUGCCCUGCACUUCGGGAUAAGCCUGGGAAACUGGGUCUAAUACCGGAUAGGACCGCACUUUGGUGUGUGUGGUGGAAAGGUUUUUCUGGUGUGGGAUGAGCUCGCGGCCUAUCAGUUUGUUGGUGGGGUAAUGGCCUACCAAGACGGCGACGGGUAGCCGGCCUGAGAGGGUGGACGGUCACAUUGGGACUGAGAUACGGCCCAGACUCCUACGGGAGGCAGCAGUGGGGAAUAUUGCACAAGGGGGGAAACCCUGAUGCAGCGACGCCGCGGGGGGGAUGAAGGCCUUCGGGUUGUAAACUCCGUUCGCUAGGGACGAAGCUUUUUGUGACGGUACCUGGAGAAGAAGCACCGGCUAACUACGUG
This 468-nucleotide ribosomal RNA is filed under the name uncultured bacterium. Its description in RNAcentral is "partial 16S ribosomal RNA". It matches the Rfam family "Bacterial small subunit ribosomal RNA", at positions 28 to 507 of the family's 1533-position model. The record is from RNAcentral.